RNAcentral lists this long non-coding RNA (888 nucleotides) under Arabidopsis lyrata. RNAcentral describes it as "long non-coding RNA (ALYR_LNC001461)". The record is from RNAcentral. Lineage: Eukaryota; Viridiplantae; Streptophyta; Magnoliopsida; Brassicales; Brassicaceae.
CGGAAUCGUGAUGGAAGCGCGGUUCCAGAAAAUUGAAGAUUGGAAGCUUCUGGGAAGCGUUCGAUUCGGACUUGGAAGCGUGGUUUUUUUAUCAACGGAAGCGCAGCCUUCCCACAGAAACCCACCCGUCGUUUAUCCUCACAAACUAAUCCAGAGAGUAGUGAAUCAAGAAGAAGUACGUACCUCCGGUGAACAGAUCUGACGUGGAGAUCACAAGAGAGUAGAGAGAAGACGCAAAGCUCAAAACUUUCUGUUAUAGACUCGUAAAAGGGAAGUGAAUGAAGAAGAAGAUACAGAGCCAACAUGAAAGACCCUUUUACCCUUCUAGUUGUGACUAAUUACUGAUACCCACAACUUGUGCUUCUCACGUGUCAAUGGAGAGAGGUUGUCUUGAAACCUCUGAUUGCUUGAGAGUCUUCAUGACACCAAAACCUACACUCUUUUCAAGUUGUCUUCGGUGGUUUCAGUUUUAGAUCUAAUCGGCGACUCUUCUCUCAAGUCAGUCUCCGACAAAUUUAUUGAAAGGAAUCUGACUACCACAAGCCAUAUUUGGGCUUUAAUUUUUUUAUUCUUUUAAGUCUAAUUUUGUUUAAAUGGCCCGUUUUUAUUUGCGUUUUUAUUCUUUUAUUAAGACAUCCAAAAUAUUUUAUUGUUAACAAUGCAUUUCUUACUUUUGAUGACUAUAUUUAUUAUUCUACAUGUUAUGUAUUUCGUUUGGUUUAAAAUUUUCUCAAUUAUCAUGCAUAUCCAAUGGUUAGUGUAGAGUAAAUUAAAUAUUUAAUAAAUCUAUAUAUAUAUAUAUAUGUAUAUAUUUACGCUUCUAACACGUACCCGCUUCCUAACUUUUUUAAAAAACUCGUUUCCCCGCUUCCAAACGCUUCCGCUUCC